Molecule: ribosomal RNA, 1349 nt
Filed under: uncultured bacterium
Lineage: Bacteria
Description: bacterial SSU rRNA
Rfam family: Bacterial small subunit ribosomal RNA
Source: RNAcentral
GGAUGAACGCUGGCGGCGUGCCUAACACAUGCAAGUCGAGCGAGAAACCAUCGAUUGAAACUUCGGUAGAUAUUGAAGGCGGAAAGCGGCGGACGGGUGAGUAACGCGUAGGCAACCUGCCCUUUGCAGAGGGAUAGCAACGGGAAACUGUUAUUAAAACCUCAUAAUACCGUAAUGUCAAAUGAUGAAACGGUCAAAGAUUUAUCGGCAAAGGAUGGGCCUGCGUCUGAUUAGUUAGUUGGUAGGGUAACGGCCUACCAAGGCAGCGAUCAGUAGCCGACCUGAGAGGGUGAUCGGCCACAUUGGAACUGAGACACGGUCCAAACUCCUACGGGAGGCAGCAGUGGGGAAUAUUGCACAAUGGGCGAAAGCCUGAUGCAGCAACGCCGCGUGAAGGAUGAAGGCCUUUGGGUCGUAAACUUCUGUCCUUGGGGAAGAAAAAAAUGACGGUACCCCUGGAGGAAGUCCCGGCUAACUACGUGCCAGCAGCCGCGGUAAUACGUAGGGGGCGAGCGUUAUCCGGAAUUAUUGGGCGUAAAGAGUACGUAGGUGGUUUUUUAAGCGCAGGGUUUAAGGCGAUGGCUCAACUGUCGUUCGCCCUGUGAACUGGAAGACUUGAGUACAGGAGAGGAAAGCGGAAUUCCUNNNNUAGCGGUGAAAUGCAUAGAUAUNAGGAGGAACACCAGUGGCGAAGGCGGCUUNNNNNACUGUAACUGACACUGAGGUACGAAAGCGUGGGGAGCAAACAGGAUUAGAUACCCUGGUAGUCCACGCUGUAAACGAUGAGCACUAGGUGUCGGGGUCGCAAGAUCUCGGUGCCGGAGUUAACGCAUUAAGUGCUCCGCCUGGGGAGUACGCACGCAAGUGUGAAACUCAAAGGAAUUGACGGGGACCCGCACAAGCAGCGGAGCAUGUGGUUUAAUUCGAAGCAACGCGAAGAACCUUACCAGAACUUGACAUCCUCCUGACAGGCCUUUAAUCGGGCCCUUCUUCGGACAGGAGAGACAGGUGGUGCAUGGUUGUCGUCAGCUCGUGUCGUGAGAUGUUGGGUUAAGUCCCGCAACGAGCGCAACCCUUGUCAUUAGUUGCUAACAUUAAGUUGAGGACUCUAAUGAGACUGCCGGGGACAACUCGGAGGAAGGUGGGGAUGACGUCAAAUCAUCAUGCCCCUUAUGUUCUGGGCUACACACGUGCUACAAUGGCCGGUACAACGAGAAGCGAAGUCGCAAGGCGGAGCAAACCUCAAAAACCGGUCCCAGUUCGGAUUGCAGGCUGAAACCCGCCUGCAUGAAGCCGGAGUUGCUAGUAAUCGCGAAUCAGAAUGUCGCGGUGAAUGCGUUCCCGGGUCU